UACACAUUGGCUCAGGAUUCACAUUUGAUUUACCCCUUUAUCCCUAUAGCUCUACAGAGAUAACAUAUAUGAAUGUGCUGUAAAUCUUUAAUGAAACAACUAGCUCAGUUUCAAGUUCGAUUCUUAGUCUUUUUUUCCAAUUUGAAUAACUAAAGUCUUCUUUGACAGUAACCAAUUUCAUGAGUACUUAUGAAUUUAGACCCCUCAAGUAUCUAAGCCUGGGUCCUCAUGGAAAGUCCUAAAAUAGAUUAGAUUUUUUUUGUAUUUUUAUUAUAUUCUGGAUGGUACAACUUAUUCAUUGUCUUAGAAAUCCCUGAGUAAAAUAAUUUGUCUUAUAAAUAGAACAGGUCUCAACUUCUCAAACCUGAUUUAAAUUUUCUGUCUCAUGUGUGUGUGUUUUAUUUAAUAAGAUCUGUUACUUUGAUCAGAGGAGGUCGACAUGUAGAAUUUUGUGCAUUUAGGUUGAUAAAAUCAUCAGUUGUAGGUUCUUAUUUUAUACUUUUGUCUAGAAGGCUGGGAAGCAAAGCAAGAAGGGCAGGACCCUGCCAGCCUAGGGUCAAGCAAAUUUGGCACUUACCUCGGGUGCAGAAUCUAAGGGAGGGGAUACCAAAAACUCAAUAAUCACAAUAUGUGGACUUGGCUUCAAAUGGCCCUGGCAGAUCCAGUCUUUAUUUAAAAGGAGAUGAGGGGGUUCAGCCUGAAAUUUCCCAGUACUUAACUUUGAGGCCUAAUCAUGAUCCCGUAAAAAUUUCUUGUGAAAGCAGGUAAAUGUCCCUAUGUGGCACAUAAUUUCUAACUCACCCUAACAGGGGGAAAAUAUAAGCUAAAAUAUGGAAAAAAUAAAAAAGGACCCAGAAUCAAUUUAUUUGGGCAGAUUCAAUGAAGACAUACAGUUUAAUCCCCUAAGCCUUAGUUAUUUAUACCUGUAAAAAAAUAAGAGCUGUGUAGCAUGAAAAUUCAAAGUUUAUUUUGAAAGAACAUAGGAGACUUCCUGGGAAAGAGUAGGUACUGACUAAUUACUGCUUUCCCUUCCUUGACAAUAAAGCCCACAGUAUGCCUUUGUUUGCUGAUUCUCACCUUGUAUGUUAAGCUUGAGCACCCAAUCCACCCAGCAGUAUGUAAAUAUGAUUGGAAAGAUUCUGCCUCAAAUUAUAUCACUGUCAGAAAUGUAUUGCAUUUAAUAUUAUUUGUAUAUUUAACUCUGCAUAUAAAAUAUUUAGCCUGUAGGAAGCAGGAAUUUUAGUCAAGUGAAAUAUUGCUCUGGAGUUGUGAAGCACAAGAAGCUUUUAUCAGUUUUGCAGCCCAGAACAUCGAUAUUGUUCUUCACCUUGUUAGGACAUGAAGGAUAUACACGUUAGUAUAAUUUUAGCAACAGGGAGAGUCUUACUUAUCAUUUGUCCAUUGGGAUUUUGGAUUAAAUAAUUAUGUACAAAUUUAGAUGAAUUCCUUUUCUGUGUUAAGGGGAACUGAUUAAGUGUGUCAAUCUGGCUGCUUUGGAAAUUGCUCCACAUAUUAUAGGCAAAAUUAAAUGACCCAAAUCUCCUUUUUCAACCCUGCACUCCUUAGAACUGUCCACAAUAUUUUGCAUAUUUUUUGGUAAUAUUCUGUUUGAAAAUCAGAAGUUGUGACUAGGGCUUAGAAUUGUAUUUUUGCCUUGUUUUUGUGUUUUUGCCUAUACUAAUUAGUACAGCUUUUUAGUUGGAUAUGCUAUGAGAGCCACUGAAUGAUCUAAUUGACCAAAAAUAUUUACCCAUUUGAUAUUCUCUUCUCAUUGUCUGGCUGUUUAAUGUACAUUUUUCAAACUUAUUGCAUCCAACACUCAAAGUUGCUCCACCUUUCAUCUUUCUUUUCUCAGUUAUAGCAAAUCCAUUUUUCUAAUUUAUUAGUCCCAGAGCCUUGAAAUCAUUCUUGACUUCUGUCUCUCAUAUCCUGUAUCUGAUCCUUAGGAAAUCCUGUUGGCUCUUUAUUUAAGAACAGACAGAGCUUCUCACCACCUCCACCUCUAUUACUCUAGUCCAAAUCUCCAUCCUUUCUGUCCUAAAACAGCCACCUACCUGGUCUCCCUGCUUCUCUUUUACUCUGUCAUAGGUUAGUUUCAAUAUAGCCAUCUAAAUGUACCUGUUAUUUUUCUGAUCAAAACUGUGCGAUAGCUCCCCAUGAUAUUCAAGGCAAGAGCCACAAUCCUUGCCGUGAUCAGCAGAGUAGAACAUGAUCUGCACCUUCCCAUCGAGUUAUCUUUCUGGUAAAUGGCUCAUCUGUUCUCUUUGAUGUUUCUUGAACGAGCCGAGUUCACCCUCUUCAGAGCCUUAAGAUGUUUCCUAUUCCUAAAAUAUCCUUCCUCCUGAGAGCAUCCCGGCUUGUUCCUUCACCGUCUUUGAGUCUUGGCCCACUGUCACCUUCCCACUGGGACUUUCCCUGUCCACCCUAUUUUUAAAGGCAGUACCCUCAUUUUGUGUACUCCUUCCCUGAUUGAUUUUUCACUAUAGCCUGUGUAAAUUUCUAAUACAUAAUUUACUUAGACAUAUUUUAUUUAUUAGCUAUUUUCCUACACUAACUAUAAGCUUCUUGAGGGAAAGAAUUUUGUCUUUUUUGUUCACUGAUAUAGCCAAAGAACGUGUAAUAGUGCCUGAAACAGAAUGUUCUGAGUAAAUAUUUGUUAAAUAAAUGCAAAUUUGGGGGCUCUGUAUAUACUGAAAAUAUUAUAGACCCUAAAAUCAUCAAGGUUGAUUUGCCUCCAUGAUUUCCUUCUUAUUAAUAAUUUAUUUUGGCAAAAUAUUCUAGGUAUAUCAAAUUAUUAAUUUUUAGACUUCAAAAUAUACAGUUCUGGGAAAGUGACAUUUGUAGUAUUCAUUAUUUUUCCAGCCCCUGCAUCAUUAUUCAGUAAUAGUUACCAUACUUAAGAAACCAUUACUUGGGAUGUUUGCUAGGGAAUGUUAAUUUUGUGUUAAAUUGUAAUUUCCAUUUAUGUUCUUAAUCUAUCUUUGAUCAACAUGUUUUGUACUUAAAUGAGUAUCUCCAAAAAUACAUAUUAUUGCUAUUAAUAUGUCCAAUGAGAACUUUGCCAGGCAGCUUGCGUGCCUCAAGAGUAUUGUAGGACAAUUUUUCAGGUUUUUUAGUUUACUUCCAAAGUAAACUUCUGAGUCAGUGAGAUACCAUUUCAAUCUCAAAUCAGCCCCGCAAUAACUCCCAGAUAGUUACGUGAAACAAAAAGUCUUGACCAAGAAAGAUAGGACAAAGGAUACAGGAAUAAGUGCUAGAAGACAUUGUGGUGAAUGAAAAUGGGAUCGUGGAGACAAUUGUCAGUGAGAAUCCUGAGCCCAUCACAGUUCUGUUGGAUGUUUGCUUCCAUGAUUAGGCCUGACAUCCAUUUGGGAUUUAAAGAGUAGUAGCUAUAAAACGUGACUUAGGGAGCUUUUAAAAACUAUUUAUUGACUACAUAGAGGAUCAAAGAACAUUAAAACCAGAAAGGAUCUCAAGAGUGUGAUUGUAACCUCCCAUGACACAUAGAAACCUCUUUUCCAAGUCUCACAAGCCCACUCGUUUCACUUUUGAACAAACCAAUUAUUAAAAGCCUUUCUCACACUAUGUCAAAAUCUACCUCCCUAUAUCAUCCAUCCAGAGCUCCUAAUCAACCACCACCCUUUCAGAUAUUUAAUGCCAACUUUGAAUUGUUACUUUCUAAGUCAAACAUCUCUUUAUUUUAUUUCUCACAUGCCAUAUUUAUUUAAUUUCUUUUGAAUGAGCUGUUUUGUCAGUGUCUUUCCAAAAUCAUUAUUCCCAAAGCUGAACACAAUAUUUUCAGUACAUUAGGUCUGAUUCGCUCAGUCUUAUAUUCCUAUACCUUGAAAUUCACACCACAAAGGUGACACCUGUUAGGGUUGUAUGUACUCAAAUGCUUAGCUCUCCUUUAAUAGGACUGUUGGUUCAGUCUGUUUAUCUCCUUUAAUAGACUGUUGGUUUGCCUACUAGGCAAAGUAUAUAGAUCUCCAAAACCGUCCUUAGUUUUUCUGUUUUCUCCAGCUUUAGGUCAUAUGCAAAUUUGUGAAGUUUACAUACCAAGUAUUCAUUAAAGCCAUUAAUAGAUAUUGAACUUGAGAAUAGGGUUAAAUACAGAAACCUAUAAGAACCUAAGGUUGACAUAAAUACAUGAAAUACAACAUUUUUCAUAUAAUGCUUAAUUCAUUUUAAAAUCUAUUCUCAUUACUAUUAUCCAACAUAUGUUAUUCUCCUACUAACAAAAAUAAAGCACUAUGUUGCAUUUAUAUAUAUUUAUCUAUUACUACUUACAUAUAUAAAUACUACUAUUUUCUCUAUAAUUUCCAGCCUAGUAACCCUGUCACUAUGGAAAUUAUAUUAAUUUGUCAUGACUUGUUCUUAAUGGACCUGAGAUGAUGCUGAUAAUCACGCUUAUCUUUUCUAAAAAUCUAGAAAUGAAGUAUUUGUUCAAGAAUGAGCCCUAGAAUAUUAUUUCUGAGUCAUAUUGACCCUUUGGGGGAAAAAAACAAAUCACUCACCCAGUUAUCUGAAAACAUCGCAGAUGAAAGUCUUUCAGUUCUGCCACAUCCCCAAUUUCUCAAAGUUUGCCAGCGUUUUCUGGAUCACAUCUGCAAUUUGUUUAGAAUGUAGGAGGUCUCUAGAUUUUGCCAAUUAUACGUUGUUAACAAUAAAAAAUAUUGGGUAGUUUUGCCUAAUGUAUUCCUCUUCCUCUAUAAUUAUUUAUAUAAUCCAAAGGUAUAAUAAGCAAUAUUUUAAAAGAAUUCUAAAUUUUACCAUAUUCAUGGUAAAAUUGUUCACUAAAAAUCAUAUCUUAAUACUGUUAAGUGGGAACAUAGUAAUUGGACAUGUUUCAUUAUUUUUUGAAAUCUUGGCCGUGGGAUUAUAUGUUUACAUUUUCUCUGAUUUUUUUUUCUUACUUUUCUUUCUUGAAAGCUAAAGUGUUUAAAGGCUUCAUCCUAACAUACCUUUUGUAUUAAUUAAAAAUUUACCGAGAGCCACAUUUCGUUCUCCAGGAUUCCUGUGAUUUCCAUCUCAGCAAGUGAUAAUCUCUUUGAUUUAUUAGUUGCACCUUUAUUUAGUGUUUAGCUCUAUUAUUUACCUUAAAUUGUCCAGGUUUUUGAGAAGCAUAUUAAGAUGAACAAGAUGUAGAUUGUACUUUCAAGGAAUUUUGCCUUCUAGUAUGACAAAUUAUGUAAACAAAUGCUUAUAAUGCCUGGUGAAAAGUGAUAAUUACUAUCAAAGAAAGGCACAGAUUAAGUUUUGUGUGAACUGACCAAAGAAAAUAUAAUUCAUUUUUAUUUUAACUUUUCUAGAACUAAGCCGAAUGUUACAGUUUCCCUCAUUAUUUACUUAGUUCUAUGAGAUAAAACUGGCUAAAAGGCAAUUAGAGAUUUUGUUCACAAAUUACAUUUGAUUGAAUGAAAAACACAUCUGGAAAGUUGAUGCCUCCUGUAACUAUUAAGUCUUGUUUCUGUAUUAAUUUCACAGUCCAUAUUAGGAAAAUUUCUUAUCUUUAAUUGACCAAACAAUAGGGGAUAAAGGCCUUAAAAUGACCUUUUAAAACUAAAAAUUUACAUCUUUGUUCCAAUCAUUGGUUCAUAUAAUAGUAUUUUUAUCUUUUCCUGUUAUUACAUGAUUUAAUUUCAUUUAAUCUCAUUACAGUUAUUAAAUAAAUUUCCACAUGCAGUAGUUUCUAAAUAAUGUUUCUAAAGGUUUUCUGUCUUAAAAUAUUUCUGUAACAUGAAACUAUAUAAAUAUUUUUUGUUAAAUAAGAAACUUCAAGUUUACUUUGUAGCCUAUACUCUCUCUUUUGUAAAGUUUUUAUUUAUUUUAAAAUUAAGACCUAUAUUCUGGUUUCUAAAUAUGGUUCUCUGAUAAAGGGAACCAGGAAUCUCAUUAGGGAAAUGAUUGAUUUUAAGGCUAGGGUAGGAAAAAUAGAAGAUGAAUCUGGAACAUUUUGUUACACCAGAAAGAAAGGAAAUGUUCAAAAAACAAAAGAGUAGGGAAUGUCAAAGGAACAUGGAAGCCAACCCUAAACAUAUUCCAGUUGUCAAAAUUGGAAGAUUUAAGAGACAAAAUGAAUAACUUUGUAUUGGAUUAUAACCCAAACUGUGAAAUAAAUACAGAGNCCAUAAUGAUAUAAAUAUGAAUGAAGGGAAUGAACCUUCCUUACAGAAUUCUAAAUAAUGCUUGUAUGUGCCACCUCCCUGCAGCUUUAUCCCCCCCACUUCCCAUUGAAUGUGUGCUGGGCUAAGUGACUGGUUUCCAAAGAAGAGUAUGGGGGGUUCCCUGGAGCCUCAUGGGUUGGGGAUCCAGCGUUAUCACCGCUGAGGUGCAGUUUCAAUCCCUGGCCUGGGAACUUCUGCAUGCCAUGGGAACAGCCAAAAAAAAAAAAAAAAAGCAUGUGGAACAGGAUAAAUAGGCGAGAAAUCUACAAAUACAGCCAUAUCCAAGUGAUCACAGAUGCUGUGUGGAUAGCAUGUACCCCUGCUUGGAUGUGAUCUCUUCACAUUCCACCAUCUUGGUUUUCUUCCCAAAAGCUCAUGACCCCAGUCUAAUGAGAAAAAAAAAAAAAAUUAGACAAACCAAAAUUAAGGUACAUCUUCCAAAGUGCCUGAUCACCACUCUUCAAAACUGUCAAGAGCAUGGAAAAAAAAAAA
RNAcentral lists this long non-coding RNA (6656 nucleotides) under Sus scrofa (pig). RNAcentral describes it as "lncRNA (ENSSSCG00015046539.1)". The record is from RNAcentral. Lineage: Eukaryota; Metazoa; Chordata; Mammalia; Artiodactyla; Suidae.